GGUUGCGAUCAUACCAGCACUAAUGCACCGGAUCCCAUCAGAAUUCCGCAGUUAAGCGUGCUUGGGCGAGAGUAGUACUAGGAUGGGUGACCCCCUGGGAAGUCCUCGUGUUGCAACCC
Molecule: ribosomal RNA, 119 nt
Filed under: Helianthus annuus (common sunflower)
Lineage: Eukaryota; Viridiplantae; Streptophyta; Magnoliopsida; Asterales; Asteraceae
Source: RNAcentral